This is a long non-coding RNA of Canis lupus familiaris (dog), 3064 nucleotides long. RefSeq lists it as uncharacterized. The record is from RefSeq and is a predicted model, not a curated record. The transcript is spliced from 5 exons. Lineage: Eukaryota; Metazoa; Chordata; Mammalia; Carnivora; Canidae.
GUCAUGAUGUAGAGACACGGAUUCUCUUUGUUCCAGGAGAGCUGGAAUGAGGCACCCUGGCUCCAGCAGCUUUGGAAGAGUUGGGUAUAAAGGAGGCUUCAUGGGUAUAAAGGAGGCUUCAUUCACAGGUGACCAGACCAGGAACGUGGAAGAUCUGGCAACCCGGAUGAGGACUGGUUGGCCCUGAAUGACAAUUUGUCCCUUUGGCAGGGGCACCCCUACUCUAUUGUCUUAUAGCUGCUGCUACCCUCUCUCAACCCCCAUAUCCUCAUUUGAAAAGAGGAAUUACAGUGUUACUUACCUGACCGUGAGUUUGCAACACUUGCCAUGAGGAUUUUAGAAAGUUGGAAGAUGAUUCUAACAAAGGUUGAGAGGAGGACCACCACUUGGUUGAUUAUAUGUGUUUCUUUGGAUGGUUCUUCUAUGAUUCGUAUUGGUGGUUCUGCUGCCAGAAAGACUUCCAGAGGGUGAUUGGCCCAUAGCUGAGUGCCUCUCUAGCUCUACUUACCUUCUUCUAGAUGACUGGUACCCACGGGUCAACUGUGGUCUGAAAGUGGAUGAUCCUCCUUCUAAAAUAUCGUCAGGUCACUCGUAGCCUAACAAUGCCUAUGUCACAAUGCCUAUGUCAUUCAUCUCAGUUCAUCUCAUCACAUAGAUAUUUUAUCAUCUUAUAUCAUCACAAGAGGGAAAAGAAGGGUGAGUAGUAUGGUGCUCCUUUUCGUGAUACAAAAAUGGAUUUUUGUGUAAUUCAUUCCAGUUAGAAGGUCCAGGAAUGGAUUUGGAAGACGAAAAUGACAAGAUAUGUUAAGGGAGAGAGAGAGAUCACAUGCAUAUAAUCUUUUAUUGCAGUAUAUUGUUAUAAUUCUAUUUUAUUGUUAGUUGUGAAUCUCUUACUGUGCCUAAUUUAUAAAUUAAACUUUAUCGUAGGUGUGUAUGUAGAAAAAUCAUAGCAUAUACAGAGUUUGGUACUAUCUGUGCUUCCAGUCAUUCCCUGGAGGUCUUGGAACAUGUCCCCUGAAGAUAAGGGUGGGGGAGGCCACUAUAGAUGCCAUUGGAACUUAACCUUCUACUUCACCUGGAGGCAUCACAGCCUUGUUUUCUGUCCCAGGAUCUGUGUGUAACUGGAAUGGGAGAACCUUUUACCUUUGCUGCAUGAUUUAAACUCCCCUGACCUUAGUUCUUACUUGUAAAAUAAGAUAAUAAUAAUAGUAUCCAUCUCUAGGAAUUGUGUGAUUAACUGAGUUAAUACCUUAAAAAAAAAGAGCACUUAGAGCACAGAGUGAGCACUCCAUACAUGUUAAGUUUGAGGAUGACAGUAGCAGUAAUGACCAUGAAUAUUGGAUGUCCCAGAUAGAGGCAGCCUCAGAUGGUUACAUAAUAUCCCUAUCUUCCGGCAAAGUUCCAAUGAAUUCCCACUUUACACCUUUUUGGCUUUGCUGAGAGCAUGGUAAAGACUAUGAGGGCUAUUGUUCUAUCUACUUCUGGAAAGACUAUGAGGGCUAUUGUUCUAUCUACAUCUUCUGCUGCUGGAAAAAUAACCAGGCCUGUGUGUUUAUACAAUAAUAGGCCAAAAUGGAAAAGUUGACCUUGAGAAUUUCAUUAAUCUCUUCAACUACAUUGGAGAAAGCAGGGAAGUGACUUCUCACAUGGGUCCCCAAGAUUUGAAAGAGUGAAUGCUGUCUUCUAACUCUUGGCCUUGCCUCUAAUCAGCUGUGUAAUCUUGGGCUAGUUGCUUAACCUCUCUGAAUUGUGGUGUCCUCAUUUGUAAAAUGGGAAGAAUAUAGCAUCGUUGGAAUUACUGAUUCAGAGGUUAUCUGUAGAAUUGAUAGCAAAUUAAGUUCUUAGAACCUGAUGAGGACUCAAUAAAAGCCUAUUAUCAUGCCUAUUAUUAUGUUUAUUAUAAAUGCUUAUAAUUAUAAGCUACCUUUAUAGUUUACAACUUACUAUAAUGCAGGGAACAGGUUACUUUCGAAGCAGAGCUUGUCCUGUGAUGAUCUUCUUCCUCUCCUUAAGAGAUGUUAACAUUCAUAGGAAUUCCCUCACUUUGGCUGAGCCUGACCCUCGGAGCUCACUGGUUGUCUAUGUGAAGAUGAGGGUUGUCCAUGGAAAGAUUUCCAUGUGAAGGUGUCCUGGUUGCACAAGGGCUAGAUCCAAGCAUUCUUGGACCCAUACACCUCAGCCUCUGCAUGUGUCUACAGCCCCAGGGAAUGGCUCAGGAUCAUCCUAUUGGAUGAUCAGGACUUUUGAGGCUUUCUGAGGUUUCUAGACUCAGACCCUCCUCACCACUGGCUCUUUCGUUGGGCAAAUUCCUACGAGUAAAAUGGCAGGAUUAUAUGGUAAGUGUAUGUUGAACGUUUUAAGAAAUUGCUGACUGUUUUCCAACGUGGUUGUACCUUUUUACAGCUCUGAUUGUAUAAUCUCCCCAGUCACACAUUGUCCAUGUUUCCCCUUACAGCAAAGUCGGUGCAUUUCCAACUAUAAUAUAUAUGUCUAAAAAAUUUUUUAAAGAAGUAGAACCUUGAAAAUAAAAAAGGCCACACCUAGACCCCCAGUAAGAAACAGGGACAUAGAUGCUUGGGUUAAGGGUUGGGGAGGUGCGUGGAGCUCAAGCUCUGAGGCACAAAUGCCCACCAUGGGCCAAGGGCAACACAGAGGGCACCUUCCUUCUAGGUUGCAAGCACGAGUGAGGUUCAGUUGGAUUUAGCUUCCCAUUGAAUGCUGGGCCUGCCAGAAAAGCCUGAUGUGGUCUGGGCUUGGGCUGCCCCCAUCUGUGCCAGCCGUGCUGGGAACCUUCCGUGAGGUCCUCCCAGCCCAUGGCAGACGGUGAGCCGCUCACAGGCCUACCGGACCCGCAGCCUCGCUCCAGGGCUGGUGCUUCUUGCUGGAUGGAAAUGGUUUGCAGGCUCUGAAGGCUACUUUUCCACCAGCACAGCGUGUCAGCCAAUCGUACUCCAUCUGCAGUACGAAUAUCAGAAGCUGUGGGACUCCAGAUGCGGGCAACAAAGAAACAAAUUGGGAACAUUGUGCACAAAAAAGAUUUUAAUAAAGAUUGAGCUGGCUCCGA